GAUGAACGCUGGCGGCGUGCCUAAUACAUGCAAGUCGAGCGAACAGACGAGGAGCUUGCUCCUCUGACGUUAGCGGCGGACGGGUGAGUAAAACGUGGAUAACCUACCUAUAAGACUGGGAUAACUUCGGGAAACCGGAGCUAAUCCCGGAUAAUAUAUUGAACCGCAUGGUUCAAUAGUGAAAGACGGUUUUGCUGUCACUUAUAGAUGGAUCCGCGCCGCAUUAGCUAGUUGGUAAGGUAACGGCUUACCAAGGCGACGAUGCGUAGCCGACCUGGGAGGGUGAUCGGCCACACUGGAACUGAGACACGGUCCAGACUCCUACGGGAGGCAGCAGUAGGGAAUCUUCCGCAAUGGGCGAAAGCCUGACGGAGCAACGCCGCGUGAGUGAUGAAGGUCUUCGGAUCGUAAAACUCUGUUAUUAGGGAAGAACAAAUGUGUAAGUAACUAUGCACGUCUUGACGGUACCUAAUCAGAAAGCCACGGCUAACUACGUG
RNAcentral lists this ribosomal RNA (497 nucleotides) under uncultured bacterium. Its description in RNAcentral is "partial 16S ribosomal RNA". It matches the Rfam family "Bacterial small subunit ribosomal RNA", at positions 28 to 507 of the family's 1533-position model. The record is from RNAcentral.